AUAAUCCACACAGUAAUGAAGCUAGACUCUCUCCUGGUGUUGACACAUCAGAUUUUUAGAGACAUGAGAGAUAGACAUGUCAAUAACUGAAAAAAACUUGAGUAUCCAACCAAAUCAUUUUAUUAAUACAUGUAGAUUUUGUUAUCGACACAUAAGCAAAGAGAACCAAUUCAUUAAACAACAAUAGCGUGUUCUUCCUGCCUCCAUCUUCUCUCUCUCUCUCCAUCUCCAUGUCAAUGGUAAUGAUUCUAAUGAAUCCUCUCUGUUUUUAGAUCUACAAAGAACUACUUUCUCAUCACCUCUUUUCUGUUGAUUUUAAUCCUGGUGAAGGUAGAAUAAUUGAACGAGUGAAGAAGAACCAGAGGAGGUGUGCGACAGGAGUUGUGGAGACUGGAGUAAGAGAACCGAGGUUUGACGCGGAUGCUCUGGAGGCUGGAGGCGGAGGCGGAGGCGGAGGCUCUGGUAGCGGCGGGUUAGGUUUAGGUUAAGAUUUGGUUUUGUUAGUUAGAUUUUGGUUUAAUGUUAUCGAUUAGUCUUCGGUUAAUGUUAUCGAUUAGUCUUUGGUUUAUUAUGUCAUAGAAAUGAGGUCUUAGGGACGGACAAGAGUGGAAGCACGUUCUCCAUGCUAACUUGCACCAUCUCAGCUAAGAUCUUCUUCGCCUUACCAGACUGAUCAUCACCGUCUAUAUGAGAGAUUAAGCUCGACACUAUGUUCUCUAUUGUAUCAGGUUGAACCUCUGACCUCGGGCUUUCCGAGUCCCUUAGUAAACAGAGGAGUCUCUGAGCUUUCCGAGUCCCUUAGUAAACAGAGGAGUCUCUGAGCUUUGGUACGAGACUUCGAGGUCCCUUGAACCGUGAGCUCAAGGAGUCCAGAUGAAAUAGCCAUCGCAUACUUCGUUAAUCUGUGCAAGAACGGAUUCGUCUCCGGCUUCAAUUUGAGAGAGCAGCAAUUCAUAACCACGGAAUUCUUUCCCAAGGAGGUGAGAAGACUUGUGUGAGAUCCAGCCUCUGCAAAACUUCAGGAUAUUUGGAGAUUCUUUGGAAGGUUUUGCAUGAGAUUAAGCAUCCGGUGAAAUCUUUGAAAGACGAUUCUCCUACCUUACCGAGGAUAGCACCUAGCGCAUCAUCGGGAAGGGUAUGUUGCAGCUGAUUGUGCAUUGAUAUCACAUUUCAAUUGAGGAGAAAUUAUUGAAGUUUUGGGAUACAGAAGAUGGAAAAAAGUGUGCUGAUGCAGGCUUCUUUUGAGAGAGAACUGCAGAUCAUUAUUUAGUGCUGCAAUUAGCGGGAAAGAUAGAGCAAGUCACACAAUGUGUGAUUAUGGGCAUACCAAUGAAACUUGGAACCGGCAUACUCAGAUUUUCAUUCCUCUCUAUUUUUUUUAAGGUUCAGGUUAAGACUACUGCUUGUUUUACGACUCUAAUAGACUUAGGUGACAUCUCAUCUUGUUCAUCAGCCCUUGGUUUAUUCAGAAUCCAUUAUCUUUCUAAAA
Molecule: long non-coding RNA, 1489 nt
Organism: Raphanus sativus (radish)
Lineage: Eukaryota; Viridiplantae; Streptophyta; Magnoliopsida; Brassicales; Brassicaceae
Exons: 4
Source: RefSeq, a predicted model, not a curated record